This is a long non-coding RNA of Panicum virgatum (switchgrass), 687 nucleotides long. RefSeq lists it as uncharacterized. Lineage: Eukaryota; Viridiplantae; Streptophyta; Magnoliopsida; Poales; Poaceae. The record is from RefSeq and is a predicted model, not a curated record. The transcript has 2 exons.
UCCUUUACCUUAGCCGCCACUGUUCCCCUCUGCCUGUUGCUUUCCUACCUCCUUAAACCAAGCCAGGGAUCUGCAGAAUCCUCAGCAUCUGCAGCCCCCGAGCAUCAAAGAACCCGAGGAAUUUGAGAUGGAGAAGUCCACGGACUCCAGCCGUGGGGAGAAGAGGAAGCGCGAGGAAGGGAGAUCCGUGGAAGAGGGAGCAUCUUGGCCAUGAAGGCAUUAGACAUUGUCAAAAACCUACCUGCUUGAUGGUGAGUCAGUGUAGAUCAGAUUGCUAACGAUAAGAUCAAUGGCGCUGAUCUUGUGACUCCCGGAUGUGCGUAGUCGAUGAAGAACAGUCGUGUUGAUAAUGUUUUGUAAAAUACAUUGUCAACGGUUGGAUCCUCUCCUCUCAUGACAAACGCAAGAACAAGUAGAAGACACAAGUGGAGACUAUUUUUUAUUUUCUGAAUAUAAAUGAUAUAUAUUGAAGUCUUCCCUCUCGUGUAUAUACUCUGAACUCAGCCUAAAGUCCAGAAGCAACUGUAGUAGAACUAGAUUGCUUGUUCUUCUUCUGGACUUGGGGUCCGGUUGUUUGCAACAAGCAUUUCCGUUAUUGGUCCUGUUUGGAGAACUAGCCAAGGGCUAUUUUGAGGGCUAAAGAUUAGCCCAAAGAAAUAGCUCUCCAAUGAAAUAGCACUUGAGUUA